RNAcentral lists this transfer RNA (70 nucleotides) under Dehalococcoidia bacterium. Its description in RNAcentral is "tRNA-OTHER". It matches the Rfam family "tRNA". From Rfam's summary of the family: Transfer RNA (tRNA) molecules are approximately 80 nucleotides in length. Their secondary structure includes four short double-helical elements and three loops (D, anti-codon, and T loops). Further hydrogen bonds mediate the characteristic L-shaped molecular structure. tRNAs have two regions of fundamental functional importance: the anti-codon, which is responsible for specific mRNA codon recognition, and the 3' end, to which the tRNAs corresponding amino acid is attached (by aminoacyl-tRNA synthetases). tRNAs cope with the degeneracy of the genetic code in two manners: having more than one tRNA (with a specific anti-codon) for a particular amino acid; and 'wobble' base-pairing, i.e. permitting non-standard base-pairing at the 3rd anti-codon position. The record is from RNAcentral. Lineage: Bacteria; Bacillati; Chloroflexota; Dehalococcoidia.
GGGCCUCUAGCUCAGCGGUAGAGCAGCGGACUCUUCCGUCGGUCCAUGGGUUCGAAUCCCAGAGGGCCCA